RNAcentral lists this ribosomal RNA (1665 nucleotides) under Salmonella enterica subsp. enterica serovar Typhimurium. RNAcentral's name for it is "partial 23S ribosomal RNA". It matches the Rfam family "Bacterial large subunit ribosomal RNA", at positions 137 to 1757 of the family's 2925-position model. The record is from RNAcentral. Lineage: Bacteria; Pseudomonadati; Pseudomonadota; Gammaproteobacteria; Enterobacterales; Enterobacteriaceae.
GAUUCGUCACACUAUCAUUAACUGAAUCCAUAGGUUAAUGAGGCGAACCGGGGGAACUGAAACAUCUAAGUACCCCGAGGAAAAGAAAUCAACCGAGAUUCCCCCAGUAGCGGCGAGCGAACGGGGAGGAGCCCAGAGCCUGAAUCAGCAUGUGUGUUAGUGGAAGCGUCUGGAAAGGCGCGCGAUACAGGGUGACAGCCCCGUACACAAAAGCGCAUGUGCUGUGAGCUCGAUGAGUAGGGCGGGACACGUGGUAUCCUGUCUGAAUAUGGGGGGACCAUCCUCCAAGGCUAAAUACUCCUGACUGACCGAUAGUGAACCAGUACCGUGAGGGAAAGGCGAAAAGAACCCCGGCGAGGGGAGUGAAAAAGAUCCUGAAACCGUGUACGUACAAGCAGUGGGAGCACCCUUCGGGGUGUGACUGCGUACCUUUUGUAUAAUGGGUCAGCGACUUAUAUUCUGUAGCAAGGUUAACCGUAUAGGGGAGCCGGAGGGAAACCGAGUCUUAACCGGGCGUUAAGUUGCAGGGUAUAGACCCGAAACCCGGUGAUCUAGCCAUGGGCAGGUUGAAGGUUGGGUAACACUAACUGGAGGACCGAACCGACUAAUGUUGAAAAAUUAGCGGAUGACCUGUGGCUGGGGGUGAAAGGCCAAUCAAACCGGGAGAUAGCUGGUUCUCCCCGAAAGCUAUUUAGGUAGCGCCUCGUGAAUUCAUCUCCGGGGGUAGAGCACUGUUUCGGCUAGGGGGCCAUCCCGGCUUACCAACCCGAUGCAAACUGCGAAUACCGGAGAAUGUUAUCACGGGAGACACACGGCGGGUGCUAACGUCCGUCGUGAAGAGGGAAACAACCCAGACCGCCAGCUAAGGUCCCAAAGUCAUGGUUAAGUGGGAAACGAUGUGGGAAGGCCCAGACAGCCAGGAUGUUGGCUUAGAAGCAGCCAUCAUUUAAAGAAAGCGUAAUAGCUCACUGGUCGAGUCGGCCUGCGCGGAAGAUGUAACGGGGCUAAACCAUGCACCGAAGCUGCGGCAGCGAACGUAUCACCCAAGACAACUUUACGGAGUUGACGAUUGACGGAGCGAAGCGACGUCAAAGCGUUCAUUAAAGUCGAGUUGGCUUAGGGAUACGUUCGUUGGGUAGGGGAGCGUUCUGUAAGCCUGUGAAGGUGUGUCGUGAGGCAUGCUGGAGGUAUCAGAAGUGCGAAUGCUGACAUAAGUAACGAUAAAGCGGGUGAAAAGCCCGCUCGCCGGAAGACCAAGGGUUCCUGUCCAACGUUAAUCGGGGCAGGGUGAGUCGACCCCUAAGGCGAGGCCGAAAGGCGUAGUCGAUGGGAAACGGGUUAAUAUUCCCGUACUUGGUGUUACUGCGAAGGGGGGACGGAGAAGGCUAUGUUGGCCGGGCGACGGUUGUCCCGGUUUAAGCGUGUAGGUGUGUGUUCCAGGUAAAUCCGGUUCACUUUAACACUGAGGCGUGACGACGAGGCACUACGGUGCUGAAGCAACAAAUGCCCUGCUUCCAGGAAAAGCCUCUAAGCAUCAGGUAACACGAAAUCGUACCCCAAACCGACACAGGUGGUCAGGUAGAGAAUACCAAGGCGCUUGAGAGAACUCGGGUGAAGGAACUAGGCAAAAUGGUGCCGUAACUUCGGGAGAAGGCACGCUGACAC